Mustela erminea (ermine) is the source of this 354-nucleotide long non-coding RNA. RefSeq lists it as uncharacterized. The transcript is spliced from 3 exons. Lineage: Eukaryota; Metazoa; Chordata; Mammalia; Carnivora; Mustelidae. The record is from RefSeq and is a predicted model, not a curated record.
CCCACCAAGACAGGACUCAGAGACAGCUGACUAUUACCACAAGCCCCAUUGGGUAGCACUAGAUUUUAUUCUGACUCCAGUAGAAGGGGCUCUUCAUUGGGAUUCCAAAGGAGGAGCCAUUCCAGGGAACCGCACUGCAGUGAGUUGUCAAGCCUUCUCAACCUUCUCAGGUCUGUGACAGAUUUCCACUCUUUCCUUUGUUUUUAUGACCUUGAUCAUAUUGAGAAAUGCUGGCAAGGUAGCCUGCAACCUAGCCUCUAAUCCGGAACCCUGCUCCUGCCGUCUGAAUACAGUUGGCCCUUGGCCUUGUCUUGUAGUAGAGAAGAGCUCAUUUGUCCAAGUGAAAGCCCUUCC